Long non-coding RNA from Oncorhynchus keta (chum salmon), 788 nucleotides. RefSeq lists it as uncharacterized. The record is from RefSeq and is a predicted model, not a curated record. The transcript has 3 exons. NCBI's taxonomy places the organism in Eukaryota, Metazoa, Chordata, Actinopteri, Salmoniformes, Salmonidae.
GAGGAAGAAAGGUGGAGAAAGAGAGGUGGAGAUGCAGUAGAGAUGGAGGAAGAGAGGUGGAGAAAGAGAGGUGGAGAUACAGUAGAGAUGGAGGAAGAGUGGUGGAGAAAGAGAGGUGGAGAUACAAUAGAGAUGGAGGAAGAGAGGUGAAGAAAGAGAGGUGGAGAUACAGUAGAGAUGGAGGAAGAGAGGUGGAGAAAGAGAGGUGGAGAUACAGUAGAGAUGGAGGAAGAGUGGUGGAGAAAGAGAGGUGGAGAUACAAUAGAGAUGGAGGAAGAGAGGUGAAGAAAGAGAGGUGGAGAUACAGUAGAGAUGGAGGAAGAGAGGUGGAGAAAGAGAGGUGGAGAUACAGUAGAGAUGGAGGAAGAGUGGUGGAGAAAGAGAGGUGGAGAUACAGUAGAGAUGGAGAAAGAGAGGUAGAGAAAGAGAGGUGGAGAAAGAGAGGUGGAGAUACAGUAGAGAUGGAGGAAGAGAGGUGGAGAAAGAGAGGUGGAGAUACAGUAGAGAUGGAGGAAGAGUGGUGGAGAAAGAGAGGUGGAGAUACAAUAGAGAUGGAGGAAGAGAGGUGAAGAAAGAGAGGUGGAGAUACAGUAGAGAUGGAGGAAGAGAGGUGGAGAAAGAGAGGUGGAGAUACAGUAGAGAUGGAGGAAGAGUGGUGGAGAAAGAGAGGUGGAGAUACAAUAGAGAUGGAGGAAGAGAGGUGAAGAAAGAGAGGUGGAGAUACAGUAGAGAUGGAGGAAGAGAGGUGGAGAAAGAGAGGUGGAGAUACAGUAGAGAUGGAGGAAGAG